CAAGUGUGUCAUUAAAAGCCAUUGUUUCCUUGUUGAUCUUCUACUUAAAUGAUCUGUAAAUUGCUGUGAGUGGGGAGUUAAAAUCCCCAACUAUUAUCAUAAUAUUAUCAGUGAGUUUAAGUAUGUUAUUAAAUGAUUUAUAUAAUUGGCUGCUUUUAUGUUAGGGGCAUAAAUAUUUACAACUGUUAGAACUUCUUGUUAGGUAGACCCUUUUAUUACAAUAUAGUGGCCUUUUUCAUCUUCA
Molecule: long non-coding RNA, 244 nt
Organism: Mustela erminea (ermine)
Lineage: Eukaryota; Metazoa; Chordata; Mammalia; Carnivora; Mustelidae
Exons: 3
Source: RefSeq, a predicted model, not a curated record